GAUUAUUUGUUGAAGUUUAUUAUUUUGUAUUUUUGUUUGUUAUUAAAAGUAAAAAUCAAGUAGUGUAUUAUAUUUAUUGAAUAUUAAAAGUGACUAAAUUUACUUUAUUAAUAGAAUUUAAAAUAGUUUAGAAAGAAGUUAAGUAUCUUGAUAAAAUAGAAAUUUUAAUAAUAUAAUAAAUAGAUUUAAAAAUAUAUAUAUAUA
This 204-nucleotide long non-coding RNA is filed under the name Physcomitrium patens. RNAcentral's name for it is "long non-coding RNA (PPAT_LNC005293)". The record is from RNAcentral. Lineage: Eukaryota; Viridiplantae; Streptophyta; Bryopsida; Funariales; Funariaceae.